This is a transfer RNA of 81 nucleotides. It matches the Rfam family "tRNA". From Rfam's summary of the family: Transfer RNA (tRNA) molecules are approximately 80 nucleotides in length.
GACUCCAUAGCUAAGUGGUUAUAGCAUGAGAUUGCAGUAAUGUUUAUCUCGGGGUCGCGUGUUCGAGUCACGCUGGGGUCU